This 200-nucleotide unclassified non-coding RNA is filed under the name Thelephoraceae sp. RNAcentral's name for it is "partial internal transcribed spacer 2". The record is from RNAcentral. Lineage: Eukaryota; Fungi; Basidiomycota; Agaricomycetes; Thelephorales; Thelephoraceae.
AAAAGCUGUCUUCGCUGAGGAGAGACAUCUGUAAGCUCCAGCGAACCUCCAUCACUGAAGGUCACUCAGCAGACGAUCACGAGCGUAGAUAGUUAUCACACCCGUGAUGCCACCAAACACUGGCAAGCUGAUCCAUUUGAGAGGAGCCGACCAUAGGCCAGCAAGACCCCCAACGUCCAAGCUCAUUGUGGCCAAACCAC